RNAcentral lists this transfer RNA (27 nucleotides) under Muscicapa striata (spotted flycatcher). Its description in RNAcentral is "partial transfer RNA-Thr". Lineage: Eukaryota; Metazoa; Chordata; Aves; Passeriformes; Muscicapidae. The record is from RNAcentral.
ACUCUAAUAGUUUAUUAAAACAUUGGU